ACGCAAUAGAUACCCAGGUAGUCCAUGCCGUAAACGUUGGGCACUAGGUGUGGGGGACAUUCCACGUUUUCCGCGCCGUAGCUAAACGCAUUAAGUGCCCCGCCUGGGGAGUACGGCCGCAAGGCUAAAACUCAAAGGAAUUGACGGGGGCCCGCACAAGCGGCGGAGCAUGCGGAUUAAAUUCGAUGCAACGCGAAGAACCUUACCAAGGCUUGACAUGGACCAGACCGGGCUGGAAACAGUCCUUCCCCUUGUGGGUUGGUUUACAGGUGGUGCAUGGUUGUCGUCAGCUCGUGUCGUGAGAUGUUGGGUUAAGUCCCGCAACGAGCGCAACCCUCGUUCUAUGUUGCCAGCACGUGAUGGUGGGGACUCAUAGGAGACUGCCGGGGUCAACUCGGAGGAAGGUGGGGACGACGUCAAAUCAUCAUGCCCCUUAUGUCUUGGGCUUCACGCAUGCUACAAUGGCCGGUACAAAGGGUUGCGAUACUGUGAGGUGGAGCUAAUCCCAAAAAGCCGGUCUCAGUUCGGAUUGGGGUCUGCAACUCGACCCC
This 551-nucleotide ribosomal RNA is filed under the name uncultured bacterium. RNAcentral's name for it is "bacterial SSU rRNA". It matches the Rfam family "Bacterial small subunit ribosomal RNA", at positions 772 to 1319 of the family's 1533-position model. The record is from RNAcentral.